This is a long non-coding RNA of Gorilla gorilla gorilla (western lowland gorilla), 244 nucleotides long. RefSeq lists it as uncharacterized. Lineage: Eukaryota; Metazoa; Chordata; Mammalia; Primates; Hominidae. The transcript is spliced from 2 exons. The record is from RefSeq and is a predicted model, not a curated record.
GAGGCGGGGCGAUGAGCUGGAGCGCCGCAGGUCGGGCCUCCAUCCAGGGCCUGCGCUUUCCCACCCAACAGCACCCCCUAAUCGGGACCUGUCUGCAGGGCCCCCGGUUGCCGUAACCUGGCUCGGGCCCUGCAGUGCCGUGGCCCGGGGCUGGAACUGCCUGCCAACUGCCUGAUUGCAGGAAACAGCAAUUGCCGUCCAGAACCAUCACAAGUUAAAAAAUAAAGAUUGUGAUCUCACAACA